This 222-nucleotide ribosomal RNA is filed under the name Streptomyces sp. XY152. RNAcentral's name for it is "partial 23S ribosomal RNA". It matches the Rfam family "Bacterial large subunit ribosomal RNA", at positions 1655 to 1861 of the family's 2925-position model. The record is from RNAcentral. Lineage: Bacteria; Bacillati; Actinomycetota; Actinomycetes; Kitasatosporales; Streptomycetaceae.
CGACUCAGGUGGUCAGGUAGAGAAUACCGAGGCGUUCGGGUGAACUAUGGUUAAGGAACUCGGCAAAAUGCCCCCGUAACUUCGGGAGAAGGGGGGCCAUGUCCGGUGAUGAGCUUCGCGCUCUGAGCUGGGGGUGGCCGCAGAGACCAGCGAGAAGCGACUGUUUACUAAAAACACAGGUCCGUGCGAAGCCGUAAGGCGAUGUAUACGGACUGACGCCUG